RNAcentral lists this ribosomal RNA (497 nucleotides) under uncultured bacterium. Its description in RNAcentral is "partial 16S ribosomal RNA". It matches the Rfam family "Bacterial small subunit ribosomal RNA", at positions 29 to 507 of the family's 1533-position model. The record is from RNAcentral.
AAUGAACGCUGGCGGCAUGCCUAACACAUGCAAGUCGAACGAACGGACGAUAAGCGUGCUCCCCUAACGUUAGCGGCUGACGGGUGAGUAACACGUGGAUAACCUUCCUCUAAUACUGGGAUAACUUCGGGAAACCGCUGCCAAUACCGGAGAAUAUAUUGUACGGCAUGGUUCAAUAGUUAAUCGCGGCUUUCCUGUCUCUUAUAGCUGAUUCCGCGCCGCAUUAGCUAGUUGGUAAGGUAACGGCUUACCAAGGCAACGAUGCGUAGCCGACCUGAGAGGGUGAUCGGCCACACUGGAACUGAGACACGGUCCAGACUCCUACGGGAGGCAGCAGUAGGGAAUAUUGGGCAAUGGGCGAAAGCUUGACGGAGCAAUGCCGCGUGAGUGAAGAAGGCCUUCGGAUCGUAAAACCCUUUUAUUAGGGAAGAACAACUGUGUAUGUAACUAUGCACGUUUUGACGGUACCCAAUCAGAAAGCCCCGGCUAACUUCGUG